This 75-nucleotide small nuclear RNA is filed under the name Papilio machaon (common yellow swallowtail). RNAcentral describes it as "U2 spliceosomal RNA". It matches the Rfam family "U2 spliceosomal RNA", at positions 1 to 74 of the family's 192-position model. Rfam says of the family: U2 is a small nuclear RNA (snRNA) component of the spliceosome (involved in pre-mRNA splicing). Lineage: Eukaryota; Metazoa; Arthropoda; Insecta; Lepidoptera; Papilionidae. The record is from Rfam by way of RNAcentral.
AUCGCUUCUCGGCCUUUUGGCUAAGAUCAAAGUGUAGUAUCUGUUCUUUUCUAGCUUAAUAUCUGAAAGUUCCCG